Molecule: ribosomal RNA, 253 nt
Filed under: uncultured bacterium
Lineage: Bacteria
Description: partial 16S ribosomal RNA
Rfam family: Bacterial small subunit ribosomal RNA
Source: RNAcentral
UACGUAGGGGGCGAGCGUUGUCCGGAUUUACUGGGCGUAAAGAGCGCGUAGGCGGUCGUUCAAGUCGCGUGUGAAAGCCCCCGGCUCAACUGGGGAGGGUCACGCGAUACUGAUCGACUCGAAGGCAGAAGAGGGUAGUGGAAUUCCCGGUGUAGUGGUGAAAUGCGUAGAUAUCAGGAGGAACACCAGUGGCGAAGGCGACUACCUGGCCUGUUCUUGACGCUGAGGCGCGAAAGCUAGGGGAGCAAACGGG